CCUACGGGGGGCAGCAGUGAGGAAUAUUGGUCAAUGGACGAGAGUCUGAACCAGCCAAGUAGCGUGAAGGAUGACUGCCCUAUGGGUUGUAAACUUCUUUUAUAAAGGAAUAAAACGAGGCACGUGUGCCUUUUUGCAUGUACUUUAUGAAUAAGGAUCGGCUAACUCCGUGCCAGCAGCCGCGGUAAUACGGAGGAUCCGAGCGUUAUCCGGUUUUAUUGGGUUUAAAGGGAGCGUAGAUGGGUUGUUAAGUCAGUUGUGAAAGUUUGCGGCUCAACCGUAAAAUUGCAAUUGAUACUGGCAGUCUUGAGUACAGUUGAGGUAGGCGGAAUUCGUGGUGUAGCGGUGAAAUGCUUAGAUAUCACGAAGAACCCCGAUUGCGAAGGCAGCUUACUAAACUGUGACUGACAUUGAUGCUCGAAAGUGUGGGUAGCAAACAGGAUUAGAUACCCUUGUAGUC
RNAcentral lists this ribosomal RNA (460 nucleotides) under uncultured bacterium. RNAcentral's name for it is "partial 16S ribosomal RNA". It matches the Rfam family "Bacterial small subunit ribosomal RNA", at positions 338 to 795 of the family's 1533-position model. The record is from RNAcentral.